This 1110-nucleotide long non-coding RNA is filed under the name Homo sapiens (human). RNAcentral describes it as "non-protein coding lnc-R3HCC1L-8:2". The record is from RNAcentral. Lineage: Eukaryota; Metazoa; Chordata; Mammalia; Primates; Hominidae.
GCAGACAGAUCCUUCAGCCUCAGGAAAGCUUCUUGAUGACGCGGUCCUGGCUGACAACCGGACUGCAACCUCAUGAGAUACCCUGAGCCAGAACCACCAGCUAAGCCACUUCUCAAGUCCUGACUCACAGUGCUGCAAGAUAAUAAACGUUUUGGAGUCAUUCGUAACACAGCAAGUGAUAAUGAAGAUACGUGGGUUGAGUGGGGCUUUGCCUAAUAUGCCCUAGUGCCUCCUGAAAGUGAAUGAGGCCAGCUGGGAUGACUAGGCACUGCUCAGAGAGCUGGGGGUUUCUGGCUGUUCCUUUGUUUGCCCGUGGUGGCCAGCAUGUUUGCAGUUGGGAGGAUUCUUCACCAGUCUAACACAUGCCUCAGUUUUCUAGGCUGGCACUGCACAGAGAUGGAACCUGAUGAAACGGCCCCAUUUGAGCGCCUGCUGUAUCGCGUUGGCUCUGCUUCCUGCAGCUGUGCUCCAAGAUGAGCCUUUCAGACAUCGCUCCCUAAUAGCUCCAUCUCCCCCAGUCCAGGAGGAUGCGCAUUCCUCUCCUCAUUCACAUGCACCACUUCAAGCCAUCUGCACGCUCUACAGGGGACUUGCCGCCUAACAUCCUAAUGUGCAACCCCAUCCAAAUCCUCUGCUGGAAUCUCACUAUUUGCACCACUUACGCUCCUGGAGCGUGAAACAGAAGGGCCAGUCCUCUUGUCUCUUUAUUCUAAGUGUUUAAUACAGAUUCCAUGGACUUGGUCCAUAACAAUAUGAGUGUGGUCUUACAUCAGUCCUUUUACUAAUUUCUCAUCAUCUCCCUCAUCCUUGUCCUUUAGUGAUUGUUCCAGACCUUCUCUUCUUAUCCUCAUACUCUCCUCUUUGGUAUAGUAGUGAGUAAAAGAAAGAAAGAAAAAAAAGGUCCUAGUGUGACUCAUAUCUUCAUGGUUUAUUUACUACCUGGAGGAUUUUUGAGGCUAUGAACAUUGUUUUAUUUUUUGCUGUAUCCCCAGCACCUAGCACAGAUAUGUGUGUGUAUCAGGGCCUGUAUGUAUAAGCUCUCCGAUGCUGCUAUAACAUGUAGUUCCCCAGUCAAAACUAAGUAUUAUUAAAGCAGCAUUUUGGACAGGG